RNAcentral lists this long non-coding RNA (1602 nucleotides) under Mus spicilegus (steppe mouse). RNAcentral's name for it is "lncRNA (ENSMSIG00000000503.1)". Lineage: Eukaryota; Metazoa; Chordata; Mammalia; Rodentia; Muridae. The record is from RNAcentral.
CUAGCCUGGGACUCCAUACAUACAUACAUACAUACAUACAUACAUACAUACAUACAUACAUACUGCAUACAUACGUGUAUGGAUAGAUAGAUAGGUAGAUAGAUGAUAGAUAAGACUAGCCUUACCCUUUUAGGGGUCCUCCCACCUCUGCUUCCUGGAGGGUAGGCAUAAACCUCCAUCAUGCUGCUUAGUCCCCUUGACCUCGUUGAAUUUGAGGUCCACACUGGGGAGGACUGAAGUCACACUGUUUGUAGCUGCCUCUGCAGAAUGAAGCAUCCAGGGGCUCUUCACGAAGAAUUACAGAAAAGGUCAUCACACACCUAAGCCUGUGGACUGUCAUUUGUAAGUGCUGCGGCGCCCUGAGCAUGUAUUGUUCCCUUCACUGAUGUCUUCUAAGUCAACAAGACGCUGAUCAUUCAUUUGGCAAAUAUUUACUAAGUGACUGCUAAGUUCAAACAUGGCCUUCAUUUUACUUCGUUUAUUUUCUUUUGCAGGACUGGGGAUUGAACCUGGGUCUCAAGACAUGCCGGGCAAAUACUGUAACAGCUGAGCCCCUCCCUGGGAAUUGGGAACCAGCUAGCUAGACUACUGAAUGGUGACCUCAGGUAUGUCCGACCUCCAGGUACAUAGACCCUGCAGAAGAUCCCUCAGUGGGCAGCAGGGGCCCCAACCCUGGCUUGCUUCUUCUCCAGCUUGGCAAAACCCAACCCUGUUGGCUUCGGUGACCUUUCCUGGACCGCUGGCGGAGUGAGGACAAGCAAGGCUACUGUGUGAAGCCUACUGAAGACCUUGAGGGAGCCACAGUAAACAUUGCAACUGUGUUUGAUGAAGAACUUGGCUUUGGGUCCCGCUAGCAGGAAGAGCUCAAACUGGCUUGGCAAGGGCAGGCAGGCCUGAGGCCACAGCUUGGCUGCAGGGCCUGGGAAGGAACUCUGAGACUGUGCACUCAAAAGGAACCUGGAGCCUUCUCUCCCAAAGCAGCUACCCACCUUCUUUGUAUCUCUAAGCUCCUGCUUGGCUGAAGGUAGUAACAUAUUAAUGAUAAGAAUGAAAAUUAAUUAAUCCCCUCGAUACCCAGCUGUGUUACCAUGGCUUUGUUGUUGUUUUUUAUUUAUUUUAUUUUUUAGAUUUAUUUAUUUUAGGUAUACGAGUACACUGUUGCUGUCUUCAGAUGCACCAGAAGAAAACAUUGAUCCCGUUACAGAUGGUUGUGAGCCACCAUAUGGUUUCUGGGAGUUGAACUCAGGACCUCUGGAAGGGCAGCCAGUGCUCUUAACCACUGAGCCAUCUCCCCAGCCCUUGUUGUUGUUGUUGUUGUUUUUAAUGUGUUUGUUUUGAAACAAAGUCUCACUCUGCAGCCCAGGCAGGCCUUGAACUCACUAAGAUUUACCAGCCUCUAUCUCUAGUGUGCUGGGAUUAGUUGUACUUUGUUUUGUUUUCUUACUUUUUCUUUUCCUUUCUUUAAUUUGAGACAGCAGGCUGUCCCUUUGUAGAGCAGGCUGUCCUUGAAGCUGUGAGGAUCCUCCUGUGUUACUUCUGCCUCACAAGUAAGGGGAUGACAGAUGUGUGUCAAUAGGCCUUUGCCUCUCUCUCUCUCUCUCU